CACACAUUGUUCACAAUCACGCUGAAGGGUUCGUGCGGAUUCCGUACCUGUUUCGACAAUUUCCCGCGGAGUUAGAGGAUCGUACGAGAAGGGACGAUCACGGGAGGAAAGAGCACCGAGUAUAACGGCACCGUGAGCGCGCGAAGAGUUAAUUUUCGUAGGUCUCUAUUCAGGAACAUUUGAACGCAUAUCGAUUCCGCCGAUGCGUCGAAUUGAUCUGAAACACAGAAUUCCCGAUGCUGAGUGCCGUGCCGUCCUGCCGGUGCGCGUGGCCACAUCGUAGCCGACGUGGGGAAUACCCGCGGUUAGUCCCGCUGAACAUCGAGUAACAAUGUCCUUUGAACGUCUUGCAGACUACGCGCGAGUCGUAUUACAUUGUUUCGAGCGAGAGAUUACAAUAUUGGUGGAACGUUGCCGUCAGUUGGAGCUCGUCACUCAAUUCAACUCGGAGCUGUCUUGGAUCUCUACCUAACACCGUGAUCAUGACGACGUCCACCACUUUGGAGUUUUCGUUCUGUGAGAUGAGUCUCCAAAACCCAUGAUCCUGCUUCUGCACGUUCUUCACGUAGAAGCCGCACGCACCGUUCACCGGCCAAUAGUACAUUCUAUCGUCGCAACUGGCAUUCUUCUCGCUGCCGGCUACCUUGAGGUUGCACGUGUUAAGAAGCGGAGUCCUCACGUAACACGAUGUUUCGUCCUUUAAAAUCUGCAGGAGUUGCACCUGGACAUCUUGGCCCUCCUGGACCUCUACCGACGUAGGUAAGAUUCUCCUCUCUGACGCAGAACAAUGUUAAGGUAAGAAAUGAUCGGUGACCUCCGUAUACGGCUGGCGAACUGUACGCGCGCUCGAUCGUGAACUCGUACCUGCGUCGACGUCGCGAAUGAGCAAAGCGACACUCAGCACAAUGAGGCUCCUCAAGUGAACGGUACGGCACAUUUUCGCAAAAUGUAGAACACAGGAACACUGUGCAAGUGUCAUAUCAGAAAGGUAGAUGCGAUUAUCAAACAGAUAGAGUCUAUUGUUGAUAAUUAAUGAUAAGCGUAUUCGCUAGAUGACUUCUGGGCGUAAAAAGUGCGUUCUAUUUUGUUAAUACUCCUCUGUCAACGUGUCGAUCCGCGAUAGAGGCGUGUACCUUGCCGAAUGAAUAAUUCGGAUGCGCAAAGUUUAUACCGCAGAGCUUACGUCGACAUCGGGAUGAACCGAAUUCUUUUGGGAAGAUCUUUAUUAAAAAUCAGAGAUACGAGAAGAAAAA
Harpegnathos saltator (Jerdon's jumping ant) is the source of this 1253-nucleotide long non-coding RNA. RefSeq lists it as uncharacterized. The record is from RefSeq and is a predicted model, not a curated record. The transcript is spliced from 3 exons. NCBI's taxonomy places the organism in Eukaryota, Metazoa, Arthropoda, Insecta, Hymenoptera, Formicidae.